ACUGAACGCUGGCGGCAUGCUUUACACAUGCAAGUCGAACAGUAGGGUAGCAAUACCUGAGAGUGGCGAACGGGUGAGUAAUGCAUCGGAACAUGCCUAUUAGUGGGGGAUAGCCCGGCGAAAGCCGGAUUAAUACCGCAUACGAUCUAAGGAUGAAAGCAGGGGACCGCAAGGCCUUGCGCUAAUGGAGUGGCCGAUGUCAGAUUAGCUAGUUGGUGGGGUAAAGGCUCACCAAGGCGACGAUCUGUAGCUGGUUUGAGAGAACGACCAGCCACACUGGGACUGAGACACGGCCCAGACUCCUACGGGAGGCAGCAGUGGGGAAUUUUGGGCAAUGGGCGCAAGCCUGAUCCAGCAAUGCCGCGUGCAGGAUGAAGGCCUCGGUUGUAACUGCUUUGUACGGUACG
RNAcentral lists this ribosomal RNA (407 nucleotides) under uncultured bacterium. Its description in RNAcentral is "bacterial SSU rRNA". It matches the Rfam family "Bacterial small subunit ribosomal RNA", at positions 30 to 446 of the family's 1533-position model. The record is from RNAcentral.